AUGAUGAUGGGAUGGGGGCGAGAGAUCCAAGAAAAGCCGUCGACUGCAAGCACGCACGGGCUCUCCCGACGCGUCCACGGCAUUGACCCCGCCCCCUUUCCCUUUCCCGCGCCGCCACGUGCCCCCGCACGGCACCGCCCAUCGACUUCCUCUCCCCGCCACCCUUUUAGGCGCACAAGCUGCUCGAGUUUCUGCCUCCUCCGCCAUCUCCGAUUUCUCCUCUUCGUUCCUUAUUUACGAGCGCCGAGGCCUCCUGGGACCAUUGGUUCUUCUUCUUCCCUCGUCGCCGCCUGCCAUCACGGGCCGUGUUGCGCUUGCGCGUUGAAGAGGAAUCCGGCAGGCCGUCGUCCUCCUCCAUCAAUGGGGCACCGCGGGGACACCAAGCCUGUCAGUGGCGGCGGGUUCAGUGAGAACGGCAAGUUUAGCUAUGGUUAUGCGAGCAGUCUAGGGAAAAGAUCUUCCAUGGAGGACUUCCACGAGACGAGAAUCGAUGGCGUCGAUGGAGAGACCGUCGGAUUGUUCGGUGUUUUCGACGGCCAUGGUGGAGCUCGAGCCGCGGAGUUUGUCAAGCAGAACCUUUUCAGCAACUUAAUCAAGCACCCAAAGUUCUUCACCGAUACCAAGUCUGCCAUUGCUGAAACUUUCACCCAUACGGAUUCAGAGCUUCUGAAGGCCGAUACCACCCACAACCGAGAUGCAGGGUCGACGGCCUCCACGGCCAUUCUCGUUGGCGAUCGCCUGGUCGUGGCAAACGUUGGGGACUCUAGGGCGGUCAUUUGUAGAGGCGGUGAUGCUAUAGCCGUGUCAAGGGACCAUAAGCCUGAUCAGACAGAUGAGAGGCAGAGGAUAGAGGAUGCCGGAGGUUUCGUCAUGUGGGCAGGUACAUGGCGUGUAGGCGGCGUGCUUGCUGUUUCUCGGGCAUUUGGUGACAAACUGUUGAAGCAGUACGUGGUUGCCGAUCCAGAGAUCAAGGAGGAGGUGGUCGACAGCUCCCUGGAGUUCCUCAUCCUGGCGAGCGACGGGCUGUGGGACGUCGUGAGCAACGAGGAAGCCGUGGCCAUGGUGAAGCCGAUCGUGGACUCGCAGGAGGCGGCCAAGAAGCUCCUCGUGGAGGCGACCCGGAGGGGAAGCGCCGACAACAUCACCUGCGUCGUCGUCCGUUUCCUGGACCAGAAGCCCCCGGCGGCGGCCACCAACGGAUCCCCAGCCCCUGUCGCACCGGGCAAGUGA
This 1230-nucleotide ribosomal RNA is filed under the name Triticum aestivum (bread wheat). RNAcentral's name for it is "partial small subunit ribosomal RNA". Lineage: Eukaryota; Viridiplantae; Streptophyta; Magnoliopsida; Poales; Poaceae. The record is from RNAcentral.